CCUACGGGCGGCAGCAGUGAGGAAUAUUGGUCAAUGGGCGCGCGCCUGAACCAGCCAAGUCGCGUGAGGGAAGACGGCCCUACGGGUUGUAAACCUCUUUUGCCGGGGAGCAACGGGGGCCACGUGUGGCGCCACUGAGAGUACCCGGAGAAAAAGCAUCGGCUAACUCCGUGCCAGCGGCCGCGGUAAUACGGAGGAUGCGAGCGUUAUCCGGAUUUAUUGGGUUUAAAGGGUGCGUAGGCGGAGUGUUAAGUCAGCGGUAAAAUGGAGGGGCUCAACCCCGUUCCGCCAUUGAAACUGGCGCUCUUGAGUGGACGAGAAGUAUGCGGAAUGCGUGGUGUAGCGGUGAAAUGCAUAGAUAUCACGCAGAACCCCGAUUGCGAAGGCAGCAUGCCGGCUUCCGACUGACGCUGAAGCACGAAAGCGUGGGGAUCGAACAGGAUUAGAUACCCGUGUAGUC
RNAcentral lists this ribosomal RNA (460 nucleotides) under uncultured bacterium. Its description in RNAcentral is "partial 16S ribosomal RNA". It matches the Rfam family "Bacterial small subunit ribosomal RNA", at positions 338 to 795 of the family's 1533-position model. The record is from RNAcentral.